GACAGAGGUCCCGAGCGUUGUUCGGAUUCAUUGGGCGUAAAGGGUGUGUAGGAGGCUAGGUAAGUCAGGUGUGAAAUCUCAGAGCUUAACUCUGAAACUGCGCUUGAUACUGCUUAGCUAGAGGAUCGGAGGGGGUAACGGAAUUCAUGGUGUAGCAGUGAAAUGCGUAGAUAUCAUGAGGAACACCGGUGGCGAAGGCGGGUCUCUGGACAGUUCCUGACGCUGAGGCACGAAGGCCAGGGGAGCAAACGGG
This 253-nucleotide ribosomal RNA is filed under the name uncultured bacterium. Its description in RNAcentral is "partial 16S ribosomal RNA". It matches the Rfam family "Bacterial small subunit ribosomal RNA", at positions 524 to 776 of the family's 1533-position model. The record is from RNAcentral.